AUUGAACGCUGGCGGCAUGCUUUACACAUGCAAGUCGAACGGCAGCGCGGGCUUCGGCCUGGCGGCGAGUGGCGAACGGGUGAGUAAUACAUCGGAACGUGCCCAGUAGUGGGGGAUAGCUCGGCGAAAGCCGGAUUAAUACCGCAUACGACCUGAGGGUGAAAGCGGGGGAUCUUCGGACCUCGCGCUAUUGGAGCGGCCGAUGGCAGAUUAGCUAGUUGGUGGGGUAAAGGCCUACCAAGGCGACGAUCUGUAGCUGGUCUGAGAGGACGACCAGCCACACUGGGACUGAGACACGGCCCAGACUCCUACGGGAGGCAGCAGUGGGGAAUUUUGGACAAUGGGCGAAAGCCUGAUCCAGCAAUGCCGCGUGUGUGAUGAAGGCCUUCGGGUUGUAAAGCACUUUUGGCGGGAACGAAAGGACUGUGCCAAUACCACGGUUCGAUGACGGUACCCGCAGAAUAAGCACCGGCUAACUACGUG
RNAcentral lists this ribosomal RNA (483 nucleotides) under uncultured bacterium. RNAcentral describes it as "partial 16S ribosomal RNA". It matches the Rfam family "Bacterial small subunit ribosomal RNA", at positions 29 to 507 of the family's 1533-position model. The record is from RNAcentral.